UUCCGAAUCGCAUGGCCUUGCGCCGGCGAUGGUUCAUUCAAAUUACUGCCCUAUCAACUUUCGAUGGCAGGGUCUUGGCCUGACAUGGUUACAACGGGUAACGGAGGGUUAGGGCUCGACCCCGGAAAAGGAGCCUGAAAAACGGCUACUACAUCCAAGGAAGGCAGCAGGCGCCCAAAUUACCCAAUCCCGAUUCGGGGAGGUAGUGACAAUAAAUACUGAUACAGGGCUCUUUUGGGUCUUGUAAUUGGAAUGAGUACAAUUUAAAUCCCUUAACGAGGAACAAUUGGAGGGCAAGUCUGGUGCCAGCAACC
Molecule: ribosomal RNA, 314 nt
Filed under: uncultured fungus
Lineage: Eukaryota; Fungi
Description: SSU rRNA
Rfam family: Eukaryotic small subunit ribosomal RNA
Source: RNAcentral